ACAAUUUCACAGCUUUUCAAGUGAAUAGAAAGAGCAGACCCCGCCCACCCGGACAGAAAGAUCAGCAUGAUAGAGACAACAUCCACUGUCUUCCAGUUGUCUGGCAUCUUACCAGUUUUCUGAGAUUUCUUAAGAUAGUACAUACAGCUUCUGCCAGAUCAUCUGCAAAUUCCCACUCUAAUAUGUUGCUGUUGCUUUAAGGGCAACUCCCAAGAACAACUCUCAAAUCAAAUAAGUUAUGUAUAAAAAUGGAAAAAAGUUCACAGCUUGUUGUUCAUCUUUGAAUGUUGCCUGUGUUUAGUGACAAUAAAAAAUCCCCUGAUAACCAGUGGAUGUAUAUUACUUAUAGAUAGAAUGUGAGAUUUAAACUCAUUAAGAAUAAAUGAAUAUUCCC
Protobothrops mucrosquamatus (brown spotted pit viper) is the source of this 394-nucleotide long non-coding RNA. RefSeq lists it as uncharacterized. NCBI's taxonomy places the organism in Eukaryota, Metazoa, Chordata, Lepidosauria, Squamata, Viperidae. The record is from RefSeq and is a predicted model, not a curated record. The transcript has 2 exons.